CCUACGGGUGGCAGCAGUCGAGAAUCUUCGGCAAUGGGCGCAAGCCUGACCGAGCGACGCCGCGUGCGGGAUGAAGGCCUUCGGGUUGUAAACCGCUGUCGUAGGGGAGGAAGAUCCUGUGCAGAACAGGGUUUGACCGAUCCUAGGAGGAAGGGCCGGCUAAUCUCGUGCCAGCAGCCGCGGUAAUACGAGAGGCCCAAACGUUAUUCGGAAUUAAAGGAGUUCGUGAGUUCGUAGACAAGCAGGGAGUGAAAGCCCUCGGCUCAACCGAGGAAUUGCGCUCUGAACUGUCGUGCUUGAGGAAUCUAGAGGUGAGCGGAACUGAUGGUGGAGCGGUGAAAUGCGUUGAUAUCAUCAGGAACACCGGAGGCGAAGGCGGCUCACUGGGGAUUUUCUGACGCUGAGGAACGAAAGCCAGGGUAGCGAACGGGAUUAGAUACCCCUGUAGUC
RNAcentral lists this ribosomal RNA (450 nucleotides) under uncultured bacterium. Its description in RNAcentral is "partial 16S ribosomal RNA". It matches the Rfam family "Bacterial small subunit ribosomal RNA", at positions 338 to 795 of the family's 1533-position model. The record is from RNAcentral.